RNAcentral lists this ribosomal RNA (575 nucleotides) under uncultured bacterium. Its description in RNAcentral is "bacterial SSU rRNA". It matches the Rfam family "Bacterial small subunit ribosomal RNA", at positions 307 to 896 of the family's 1533-position model. The record is from RNAcentral.
GGUAUUGCGGGCGCGAAUUCGCCCUUACUCCUACGGGGAGGCAGCAGCAAGGAAUUUUGUGCAAUGGGCGAAAGCCUGACACAGCGACGCCGCGUGGGGGAUGACGGCUUUCGGGUUGUAAACCCCUUUUCUCAGGGAUGAAUAAAAUGACAGUACCUGAGGAAUAAGCCACGGCUAACUACGUGCCAGCAGCCGCGGUAAUACGUAGGUGGCAAGCGUUAUCCGGAUUUAUUGGGCGUAAAGAGGGCGCAGGCGGCCUUUCAAGUCGGAUGUAAAAUCUCCCAGCUUAACUGGGAGCGAUCACCCGAAACUGCUGGGCUCGAGUGCAACAGGGGAAGGUAGAAUUCCCGGUGUAGUGGUGAUAUGCGUAGAUAUCGGGAGGAAUACCAGUGGCGAAGGCGGCCUUCUGGGUUGUCACUGACGCUUAAGCCCGAAAGCGUGGGGAGCAAACAGGAUUAGAUACCCUGGUAGUCCACGCUGUAAACGAUGGAUACUAGGUAUAGGGAGUAUCGACCCUUUCUGUGCCGAAGCUAACGCGUUAAGUAUCCCGCCUGGGAACUACGGCCGCAAGGCUA